RNAcentral lists this long non-coding RNA (38412 nucleotides) under Sorghum bicolor (sorghum). RNAcentral's name for it is "long non-coding RNA (SBIC_LNC003874)". The stretch from base 29955 to 30150 matches the Rfam family "MIR1435 microRNA precursor family". Lineage: Eukaryota; Viridiplantae; Streptophyta; Magnoliopsida; Poales; Poaceae. The record is from RNAcentral.
UUUUUUUUUUUUUUGCUUUGGCAGUUUGGCUCGUGGAGCUGAUGCUGUUUUGGGAAAAUGUAAGGACUAAAUGAAUAUUGGAUACAGAUAUCAAUACAAGUAUCGGCAUCAUUUGGGAUGAACUUUCGGUAUAAGUAUAACAACUUCUCACACUUCUACUACUAUGAAUCAUAGUAGCCGCCUCUAUAAAUCCGAUUUCUAGCAAUGGCUUUGGAGUAGGAGCCCCUCUAGAAAUUGUUGUCCAAAUAUUAUAAAUCUGGUUCAAAAAAUAGCAAAAAGAAGUUUUAAUUCAACAUCGUAUUCAAUACAGGUCAGCUCUGCUCCAAUCAUACAAUAAUGUUAGCUGCAAUACGGUUACACUGUUGCAUUAGUCAAUAUGCUGCAUGAUUUUUUUUUGUUUUAGAAAGAGUGUGUGUGAUAUUUUUGAACAGCUAUUUCCUUUUGAACUAACGGCACAAUAUAAUAUUAUUUAAUAAAGUAGGAAUAAAUAUAGUUUUUUUUUUUGACUAGUGGAAUAAAUAUAGGUUGAUGGCCUCAUCAAAGAGACUCAGGGUGAGGUGGGCCACGCGCAGAUUGCUAACGAGCUUAGGCCCUGUUUAAAUUGGAGAUGAAAAUUUUUUGGAUGUCACAUCGGAUAUGUCGGAAGCAUGUCGGGAGGGGUUUUUAGAAACUAAUAAAAAAACAAAUUACAUAGCUCGCCAGGAAACUGCAAGACAAAUCUAUUAAGCAUAAUUAAUCUAUCAUUAGCACAUAUGGGUUACUGUAGCACUUAAAGCUAAUCAUGAAGUAACUAGGCUUAAAAGAUUCGUCUCGUGAUUUUCAACCAAACUGUGUAAUUAGUUUAUUUUUUUAUGUACAUUUAAUGUUUCAUGGAUGUGUCCAAAGAUUCGAUGGGAUGGAUGAAAAAAUUUUGGAUGGAGAACUGCCUUAAUCAGUUUACGAAGAUGGGCUUUUUUGGACCGUCCCCUAAAACGGAUUGCCUUGGAAGACAAUAAUUUUUUUUCUAUCUCUAGAACAAAUGGUCUGUCGGUCUGUCUCUUGAAAUAUUCUUUUUAGUAGUGAAAGAAGACCCCAAUCCAUUAUUGCAAGAUAUUUCCCGGCAGCAAAUUAUAUUAGCUAGAAACUACGUAUACACUGCUUGUUUUUUCAUUUGUAUUUCACUGUACAUACGUACUCGUACGGUCGUGCCUAAUUAACACAAAACAAAGUACAAGUUCCACUAAAUAAGAGGCCAUGCUCGUGCUUGCCUACAAGUGCAGUUGGUGUGCCUGUGGAAGGAGUAGACUUCAUAUUUCCAUAAUAAAAAAACACAGAAAAAAAUAAAGGCCUUUUUUAAUUCCUUUUUUUUUGAAAUUUGGCUACCGUAACAUUUUCGUUUUAUUUGACAAAUAGUAUCCAAUCAUGAACUAAGCCCUUGUUUAGGAACUUUUUGAAUUUUGACACUGUAGCACUUUCAUUUUUAUUUGACAAACAUUGUCUAAUCAUAGAGUAAUUAGACUUAAAAGAUUUGUAUCGUGACUUACAGGUAAACUGUAUAAUUAGUUGUCUUUUUUAUUUAUAUUUAAUGUUCCAUGUAUGUGCCGCAAGAUUCGAUGUGAUGUGGAAUCUUGUAAAGUUUUGGGUUUUUGGAUGCAUCUAAACAAGACCUAAUUAGCCUUAAAAGAUUCGUUUUGUGAUUAUAGAUAAACUGUAUAAUUAGUUUUUAUUUUUAUCUAUAUUUAAUGUUUCAUGCACUUGUUCAAAGCGAGCAUAUUUUCUUCGAAGUACACAAAUGGACCCCCAUAGUGCGUGUACGUUAGCUAGGCGCGGCUGUGCUUGAAGGUCGCAGUAGUAUAAUUACCUGAUGAUCCGGGCCGGGCGGCAAAUCCACUACUCCAGAGCUCCAGAAACUCCAUCUCAAGGUGCCCUUGCUGUUUCUCCAAAGCACAACACACCAGCAGCGCGCAUCCAUGGCGUCUAACAAUAAUCAGGCGACGAUACGACACUUUGCCGACCCCCACCCGCUUGGGCAGACGCAGUACCGCCAUGACGAGGCUGGUCUGUGCAACAUCUGCCUGCUCAAACUCGGCGGGCUCCGCAGUCGUCUCACCUACGGCUGCUACACCUGCAACAUCCACCUCCACAGCGCGUGCGCCCGUUACUUCCCGGAGACCAUCUCCUUCUUCGCGCAUCCGGCGCACACCCUGAAUCUCAGGCGCAGCCCUGCUGGUGGACGGGUGUGCGAAAUCUGCAGAGGGGACUGCCCCCCUCAAGGGAGCUUCGUGUACAGCUGCACCGCCGGCUGCGGCUUCGACGUGCACCCUCUCUGCUCGAUGCUCCCAGAGAGCGUUGCUAGCCCUUUGGACCCAAGCCAUCAGCUCUGCAUAUUCUCGUCAGAGUCGCCCGGGAGCGGGAGCUGCUCGGCCUGCCACCAUCCUUUACCCAGGUGGCACUACAUCGGCUCUUCCCUCAAACUACACAUCGCGUGUGCCACCGGUGCCGCCGGCCAGGGUAGCAAUAGCAACGGCGGCGGCCAUGCUGCCGUCGUCCAGCAAGGUAGCCAAUAUGGCACUGUUAGGCAGCGCAGCUUAUUUGGUGCCCCUGCUCCCGGCCCUGCAGGCUACAACUACAACCCGGUCAUCCAGGGCUACGGCCAGGCGGGCAGCUACUACUACGUCCAUCCCAUCCAUGGCAAUGGCAUCUACUACUACGGCGGCCCUGCUAUGCCCAGCGGCGGCGGCUACUACGGUGCUAGCGGCGGUGGACAGCAGAGCAUUUUCCAGAACCCGAGCAACCUGAUGAGUGGCAUAGCCAGGUUUCUCUUCAGCGCCGCGAUCAGCGCGGCAGCCAGCGACCUGUUAUCCGAGCUUCUGUCCGCGAGCUUCAGCUGAAUUCCAUGUCUCAUAGCCAUGGCAUGCUGCCGCCGGUGUACUCUGCGCCGGCCCACGAUCCCAAUGAGUGUACACGUGUGCGUGCUGCAAGCUGCAGAUGAUCGGCACGUACUAAUAUACUCCCUCCAUCCCAAAUUGUAAGUCAUUCUAAAAAUCUUGGAGAGUCAAACUUUUCUAAGUUUGACUAAACUUAUAUUAAAAAAUUAUUAUUAUUAUUAUGAUACCAACUAAGUAUCAUUAGAUUCUUCAUUAAUUAUAUUUUCAUAGUAUACUCACUUUACGUUACAAAUUUUAAUAUUUCUCUUUAUAAUUUUGGUCAAACGUGAAAAUGCUUUGACUCUCCAAGAUUUUUGGAAUGACUUACAAUUUGGGAUGGAGGGAGUACUUUCUUUUUCCUCUAUGCGUGUGUAUGCACUAAUGCACAUGCAUGUGAGGCGCUGCAAUAAGCGCUCAGACUGUGCUUGGAUCAAUUUCAGUUUUGGGCUGUAUUUCUUGUGUCGUCGUCCAUGAGUUAGUCUUCGUCAUUGUUCAUCAGUUGUUGUCAAUUGUCAUGUGUGUGUGAUGCAGUUUAGUUUUCAUGAGUCGUUAUUUAGGGAUGUUAUUGCUUGGAAUUGAUAGUAAACUACUCGUCACAGACACAGAUUCAUUUUCAGGCGUACGUGGAUUAAAUUUUUACGUCUGUGAUAAAUGUUAGGCCGUGUGUCUAUAAUAAAUUUUGAUUGACACACAUUGUGCUGCAGCCUGCAGCUGGUGUAUACGCUCGUAUUCUGCAGUAGUUGUUGAGUAUCGUACAGUACUAGUAGUACUAUUUACUCUGUUGUGUUGUGCCUCUCUCGCUCCUUCUAUACGUAGGAUUAUACUUCUUACCGUGAAGGGGCUGCAGCUAUGUAGCACUAGCACUAUAUAUACCUCAGUUCAGAAAAUACCUCAGCUGGCAAAAGAAUGCAAUUCUCAUUUUUUUUAGAAUUAGUCCGUUUAAACUUUGACUAAAUUUACAUAAAAAACUAUUAUCAUUCAUUAUAUAAAAUAAGUACUGCUAGAUUAGUUAUAGAAUAUAUAUUCUUAUGCUAAUAAGGAGCAUGGCACAUGCCGUUCUUUGCUUUGCUCCUAGGCGCGAAGAUGUUCUGUUCAUCACGAAUGUCAACAUAUACAGAUACAGACCCACGCCUUGCCCGAAAUGCCGGCAGCCGGGAAAUGUCCGUUCCUGUCGUGGCGAGCUCCGGCGUUCUCCUUGCGUUGACCGGCGGUAGGCAGGGAGACAUUGGGUCUCUACCACGCUGCGCAGCGUAUGGUAGAACUGCGCGCGUCCUGCGUCGGUUGACCUGGCAAGCAUCAGCAUGCAUGCAUGGUGUCCUGCUGCCGUGCGCCGUGCGCGGUCCCAUAAGCUACAUACAUCACCAUUCACCAAUUGCGUUCCCUCUCGAUCAGAUUGUGGUUGCUAUGGCAUCACGUACCAAGUCCAUCACGGUCACGGGGUAAUUAUUGCGCAAGUUGUAGUUUAGGCCUUCAAGCGAAGAUGUGGACAUGUGGUCAAUGCGGACACGCCUGCUCGCUGUUGCCACCGGACUACAUUCUGUCACUUUUGCAAAAUCGAUUUUGAGAGACGCCUCCAUUCUUAUAGCAGAGACGACUAAAUAAAAAAAAACUUCAACCUGCGGGGUAAGACAGUCCCCAAGUAUUGCAUUAAAAAGAAGACAUUUUCAUGCAGGUCGAGAAAACCCUCAAACAUCUGCCCCACUCAAUCAACAACCGUGUCUAUAGAUGUCUCUAAUGGACCCAUUAAAUAGACCGUAUGCAUAUGAAAAUCCAUUCAGAUGCAUCUAAAAUGAAUGCAAUUUUCAGCCUCUAGAAAUGUGGUUAUUUCCCAUGAUAACUGGAAAAUCUCAGAUGCCCUUUAAAUCCUAUUUCUAGAGGCGUCUAUAAUUUUCAUCCGCUUAUGAAAUCUUGUUUCUAUAGACGUCUAUGAUUUUUCGUAGCUUAUGGUACUUAGGCUUAGAAUGUAUAGCCAUGUUUCUUCCUUCUCAAGAUAGAAAGUGUAGCCCAAGGAGGCAAACAGAGGAAAGCUCCAACAACUUCCCCAAAAUUUCAAUUCAAUCCAUGUGGAAAGUUUUGCUCUUGAUUUCCCUAGAGGUGAUUCUAGAAGGUAAGUUCAUGACAUUUCUAACGUCUUCUUGAUUUCCCUAGAGGAGGUGAUUCUAGAAGAUUACUUAAUUAAUUAGUUUUUUGGGUUUAUAUCUCUUUUGACAUGAUUGAGACAAGUAUAGAUAAAGUUAGAUCAAGUCUUUGAAAGCUCUAAGUUAAAUUUAGUAGGGGGGAGGUAUAAGUCUAAUUUUAGUUCCUUAUAUAUUGGAAAUCAAAUUUUAGAAUAUUAGAUAAAACCUCGAUGUAUGUUGACAUGAUCUAUACAAAACUUGUAACUAUCAAUGUGAUCUACAGUUGUGUAGUUGAUAUUUUUUUUAUUUGAAGUCCAUUUAGAGUCCUAUAAAUCCAUUUUAUGUUCUCAUAUUUUAAAAAUUUAAAAUUUUGAAAUGACUUCUGUUGAUAUAAUAUAAUCUAAUUUUAUAGUUGUCAACAUGUAUAUGAUUCACUUUGUAGUUAACAAGUUUUUGAUGUGAAAAUUUUAGAUUAUGAGAUUCAAAAAUUUAAAAUUUUCAAUGCAAACAAUUUUGAACGGAGACACACCCUCCGCAAAAUUGUAUUUCUCAAUAUGAGCUGAAACUUUAUAAAAUGAUUUAGUAGCCAAAAUAUUUAAUACAACACUACAGAAGUUAAUAUACAAUGCGAAUGUUCUAUUAGGCUAGUCUCAAUGGACAGUGUCACUGUACGGUUUCACAUACCAACACGUCAUCAAGAUUGAAAUGAAACCAUCUAUGAAAUAACCUCAGCAAUGGAGCAUUCACUUUGUUGUUUCCAAGGCUAAGCAAAGCAUUUAAUUGCUGCAAAAUAAUUGGAUCACAUGCAAGAUGGUGAAACGAUUUGACCCUCGGUGGAGAUUUCAUCUCGUUUCACCGCGUGGGAAACAACGCCCGCGAGGUUUCACCAUGGUGAAAAUACUUCCUUCUCUCUCCUCUUUGUUUCAUAAAAAAGUGCAGUUUUUUCUGACAUGACGCUAGUAGUGUAGUGGUAGGAAAGGGACCCCUAAAAUAUUUACAGCAUUUUAAGGUCUGGUCUGUUAACAAAGACCAUUUAUUAGAACAGGCAACACGUGGAACAGGUCUUGCCGAGCAGGCGGCAGCCGGGAAAGGCCCCCGAUCUUGUCGUGACGAGCUCCAGCGUUCUCGCGUUCUCUCAGCAGGCAGUGGCGCACGCGUAUUCGGAGCUCGACCAUGCCAUGCGCAGCGGUAGAACUGUAGAAGAGAACCUCGCGGUUAACCAGUUGACCUGACCAACAUGGGGGGUCGGGUCGUCGUGCCGUGUGCGCCGCGCGCGCUAGCUGGCUGUGCUGUGCAAGGACAGCAAGGUACCAAGUUGCGGCAUGCCAGCAUCACAUAUUCAUUCACCAAUAUCGCAUCAUUCGCAUGGCGUCUCGACCCGAUUGUUGGUUUGUCGCUAUGGCGCCAUCACUGCAUGCAUGCAUCACGGUCAUCGGAUCCGGAUCACGGACACUUGCACUGCAGUCCUUCAAGCCAAGCGGAGACGCGCGCGGCCCCACGCCUGUUGCCAUCGGACUCUACUUCCACGAAAAAUAAGGGCGCGCAUGUGACCGCGCGUGCGUGUGCGUGUAUGUGCGCGUCGACAAGAAGAGCAACUACCUGCUGCUCGCACCCAAUGACCCAAACAAAUGAUCACGGCGAAUUUCGUAAAAAUAUAUACAUAUACUCUUUUUAAAUAAAUAUUUUUUAUAAAAAUAAAGAGCCAAAGUUAGGUUUUGAAGACCGUAUCGCUGUCCUAAAUGAUUUUCUUUGUGAGUAUAGAGAGAGUACAAGUGAUGUGAUUUAAUACUCACUCUGUCAUAAAUUAUAAGACGUUUUGGAUUUUAUAGAUACAUAACUUUUGUUAUGCACUAUAUUUAGAUACGUAAUAAAAUCAAUGUAUCUAUAAAAGACAAAAUCAUCUUGUAAUUUGAAAUGCAUGGAGCAUAAAACUUUGGCCACUAUUUUUUUAAUAAGAAUUUGAGACACAUAGAAUAAAACUAUUUUGAAAGUAGUAGCUAUUAUUUGGCACAAAUGUCCUUCCUGUAACUUCUAACCAUUCAAAAUCAAAACGCCGAAAUUAAACUGUACUCUAAGUUUUUUUUUUUGAGAGACUUUGGCGAAGUUAAGACAACCUUAGAAACAUUUUCUUAUUUAUUUGUGAUUCGAGAUAGAAUGUAUUAGUAAUUUGUACCAAGUGUUUUCUAAAUUAAAAAACUGAGCUAGUGAAUCUUAUUUGGACAUGUAUGGUAUAGGAUAGUGGGAUUUUUUAAAAGAAAAGGUAAAACUCUAUAAGCUCUUAACCUGUGGAUGAUGGAAAGAAAACAAAAUGUAUCAUCGUAAGUAGUUCGUGGCGACAUAUGAUAUUUAAUUAGAUUUUUGUCUUUGAAUCAAUUUUUAGUUUUUUUUGUGUGUUUAAAUCUUAUACUAGCUUAGAGAUAUUUUCUAUAGUUUGAAAAACUUGUAAAGUAUUUAAAAAAUUCUUUUAACUAAAAAGGAACAAAACUGUGUUAACCAAUCCAAAACCAGGAUAAUAAGUACUAAUUUGAACGGUUUUGAGAGUUUAGGGUAACAUGACUGGUUUUGCAGAAAAAUAGACUCUAUUUAGAUCUCAUGGUCUAAACUUUAUUAGAAGCUAAAGUGAUAUAAAGUUUUAGUUCUUAACUUUAGCCAUGUAAACUAUAGAUCAUAAGAUUCAAACAGAUCUUUAGAGUAUAGACUAAGGCUCUGUUUGGUUCCCUUGCUAAAUUUUAGCUAGCUAAACUUUAGACACUUUAGUAGCUAAAGUUCUAAACAAAUUGAUUAAAAGAAGCUAAAAUAGUUUAGUUCUAUUAGUCUUCCAAAAAUAACUAAAAUAAUAUUAGCUAGUUAAAAUUUAGCAAAAAGAACCAAACAAACCCUAACACGAUACUCCUAGAAGGUAUAUUUCCAAAGAAAUUUUUCGUCGCAUCCUAAACAAGGCCAGCCGAGAAGUUGUUGCCAAGUGUUUUUUGGCCCACUACGCCAAAACGGGCGCACGAUUGCAAAUGCCGCUGGCCUUGGCCCACUACGCCAAAGCGGUGCGUCUAGCUACACGUACGCCUACACGGGUGAAGCAUCGGCUACAACCCCGGCGCGUGCGGUCCACCGAGAGAAGCGCAAGCGAUCCUGACUCCAGGGCCACCGUCCACCGAAUCCCCGACCGCGCCCCUCGACCUCCGUUCUCCGUGGCGGCGUGCUCCCCGCCUCCGCCCUCGCCCCUCCCGUCGGCGACCUUGCCUCCUCCUCCUGAAGUCCUCGGACAACCUCUCCUACCCUCUAUUGCUUCGUUCCUAGGUCCGCUGCUGCUCAUUGCCGACGCCCGACGCCGUCCUCCCUCCUAUCGCCUCGCGCGCGACAUUCUCUCCCGAUGUCGUUCUGAGGCCGUGGAAGAUCUAUAGGGGGCCGCGGGAGAGGUCGUGGCUUUGGGCACGACCACCCAGCUAAACACGCGCCGGCGCGCCGCACGAGGACUUCCCGGUCAGUCCCCCCUCCGCCCGCACCUUGCAUUGCGUGGUGCAGUAGAACUGUGAUGUGCUGCGUACGUGCUUGCACAAUGAGCAGGACAUCACCCUGCCGGAGAUGAAGUGUGCCAAGGCGAGUAACGAGGAGGCCUUGUUUAGUUCCAAAAAAUUUUGCAAAAUCGACACUGUAGCAUUUUGGUUUGUAUUUGAUAAAUAUUGUCCAAUCAUAGACUAACUAGACUCAAAAGAUUUGUAUCGUCAAUUCCGACCAAACUGUGCAAUUAGUUUUUAUUUUCGUCUAUAUUUAAUACUCCAUACAUGCGUCUAAAGAUUCGAUGUGACGGAGAAUCUGAAAAGUUUUGCAAAAUUUUUUGGGAACUAAUCAAGGCAGGCGCUGAUUCUGUCCACCUUGAAACUCGAGGAGUUCUGGAGGAGUUCCUGUUACCACCUGGAGGAGGAUGCUCCCAAGAAAAGUACUGUGGCUGAAUUUAUCACGGCUUUUCUUCUUCUUCAUCUCACUGAGGGCACUCACAAUGCAGACUCUAUCAUAGAGUCUAAAGUUAUUUAUUACUUCGAACAAUGUGGACUUGGAGUCUAAAUAAGACUUGGAGUCUUAUUUUUUCUACCUCUUUCUUCAAUAAAUAUGUUGUCACAUCAGCAAAAUACCAUAAAUAGUAUGUAGUUAAGUGUCUUGGACUCUGUGAUAGUCUUGCAUUGUGAGUGCCCUGAUUCUUCGUAAUGGUAGUGCUCCUUAUCUUAUGAUCUAUAGUUAGCUGCUCGUCUGCCUGCUCGGAUUUUCUCUAACCAGUUGGGCAGGCAAUCGACCCUGUGAAUUUUUCAAGUAGUUGGUCCAGGAAUGAGGAGGAAUCCUCAAAUAAAUUGUCGGUCUAGCUAGUCUCUGGGUUUUCUUUUUCGGCGAAAUUUCGCCGAAAUUUCCGAAAUUUCACAUUUUUCGAUGGGGUCUGAGUUUUUUUUAUAUCGGUCAAAUUUUUCGAUUAAUUCAUAUUUCGCUUCAAAAUUACUUCAAACAACAAUAAAAUAACCCACCAUAUCUUCUAGUCUUAUCAAAAGCCCUAAAUUUCUUUAAAAUUAUUUAAUUUUCUCACUCAAAUAUUUCGUGAUAUUUUGUGUUAUUUCGUUGAUAUUAUAUAAAUUUGUGAUGAACGAUAGAUUAGAAAGUUUUUCUAGUAAAAUGAUGCUAUUUUUUUUAAAAAAAAUCAAUUGAAUUUAUUUAAAUUUCAUCUGAAAUUUUCGAAAUUUCUUAUUUAUCGACAGGUGCUGAAAAAAUUUUCCUUCCGAAAAAGAAAACCUUAGCUAGCUAUGUGCAGUAGGCAACAAUUCUCGAAGAUUGUUCAUAGAUUAGUCAACUCAGUCUUUGGUGGAAGCACUUUAUGUUUUGUUCAAGUAACUGAUCAAAUAAUUGUUUAGAGAGUGUUGUAUGGAAGGUUGUUUUGCACUUUUGCUAGCUUUUGAAAAGAGGCACUACAUUACAAGUGCCCUGUUUUGUUUUUUUAUACCCAUUGUUCCAAAAAAAAACUGCAUUACCAGUUUUGUUAUCUUACUUUACUAGCUGGUACUCUUCGGAUUAUGUUAUUAUAGAAUGACAAACUUGUAGAAACGAUUUGGCAUACUCAUAAAAGCAUCUUUGUUCAUUGCUAGCAUCUUUUACUUUGUUCUGUUAAUUAGUUUUUACUUUUUACUCUAUCACCUUUAAGCAAUCCUUUUUUGACGGGUUUUUUUUUGCAUUGGUAUUUUUCUAGCUUUAUUUUAGUAAUUUGUGUUUUUAGUUUAAUUAUCUUCUGAUUUCAUAUGUUGUCAGACAAUGAAGACAAAGAGAUUGAAAGAUUUUCUGAUACAAAGCAAACGUGAAGCUCUUGCGUUAUAUCUCAAACUGGUGCAAGGCAGUCUUAGAUUCUUGAACUCAUUUGUAUGCAGUGAAAUUUAUUGCCAGCUCAAUGUUUUCAGCAUAAUAACUAUGAUAUUUUGUUCCUUUCAGGAUCUAGAAGAGGGCAAGCAGGCAACAAUAAACUCCGGUGGGAUAAGGAUUCAGGUUUUUACUUUUUACUUCUUCAUGAAAUUAUCUGCUUUUCAUAACUCUAUUCCCUGUUGGGUCACGAAGUACUGAACUGAAAAUUUGCUACUGCUAGAUGCUACAUACUUAGGUAUACUUAGACUUUUUUUACUUGGAUUGUACUUUUGUGUUUGACACGCGGUAGCCAUCAACCAUCAGACAUAGAUAUCAUUUUUUUAGCAUACAUCUAAGCACAGUUUAUGUCUGAUGGGUGGAUGGCUGCUGUACGUGUUAAGAACAGUGGAAACUUCACAUGACAUGAGGUAGGCUCGCUGAUUCACAAAGGAACCGAGAAUACAAGGUGAAGCUACUGCGCUCAUGGCAAGAAGCAAAAAGGUUCUCUAAGUCUAAAGAUGCUAUACCUGAACUAGUUUAUUAGUCGAAAUUCAAAUCCUUAUAGAGGAUGAGAAUCGGAGAAGGGAGAGUUAACUAUAUAUAAAGGCCGAGGGAAUCGAGGCUAGAUCACACUUAAGCACAGAAGAAAACUAAAGCUACAAUGACAGACAGCGACAAAACAGCUGGGAGUACUGUAGCAAAAACGGCAAGACAGAAAAGGCCAUCAGACAUAGACAAACCUGACCCGGUACAUGCCUCAACUACAUGUGGACUAAUGAUCUCAACGUCCUCCGUAUCUUAAAUUUUUAGAAUGCUGUUUCAGUACACUCCUCCAUAAUUUUGCACUGAUGCAUCACCUAUUCACCUUAUCAAAAAAGUUGGAUUUCAGAUGGACUGAUGGAGGAUAGGGCAAAUGUGGGAAACCAGUUACCGUCUGCAGAGAGCCGACCAAUUUAGCUUUCACUUUCGCCUCUUCAUCCCUAUCAAAUCCUUGUAUUUUGCUCUCUUCAUUCAAAUUGUAAAUUGUUCUGACUUUUGUUUUUAUAUAUGCAGUUUUUGCUAUACGCUUAGAUAUACAUUAUGUUUAGAGACAUAAUAAAAGUUAUGUAUGUCAAAAAAGCCAGAACGACUUACAAUCUGAAAAUACUAGAGUAGAUGAUUUGACCAACUACUGGCCUUAAUAGUAAUAACAAACUCUAUGAUGUGACCGACGCCAUGGCUCAACAAAUAGUACACGUCGGAAUGAAAGUGUGGCCAUGUUUUUUUAGAGGAACUACGCAAGGCAGGCUUGCACCGACUUGAACAAUUGUACUAAAAGCUGCAAGGUGUAUAUACACAUUAACUUACCAAUAUCAAGAUGUUGUGGAAUGGUAGUCAUAUGCAGAUAUCCACCUACUCCCUGCAUCAUGUACCGGGGACAGCAGGUUGGUCUUUCUGGGCAUGUGGAAACAGUUCCAGGAAGCCUUAUGUUUGCAGUUUGCAAGGAAUUCGGAUAGCUGAACCUUUUUUUGACGCAAUCAGAUAGCUGAGCCUUAUAAUACCAAAGACAAAUUUAAUGACAUUUGCUCACUUCAGAAUGAAUUGACUUUUGUUCUUCCAUCUUAAUCAUAUAUCAAUACAAAAACUCAUACAAUCAGAGUAGCAUGGUUGACCACCUUCUAUUGAAAAGGUUUAUACUUGUCCAUUUUUUCCCUCUCAAACAAGUACUACAAUGCUUAUUCACUGUCUCUGAAACACACAAGUCAGCAACUAACAACACAUUAUCAUGAACUACAAUUUGUCAGGAAAGAAAUACUAUUCAAUGUUCAGAUUCUAGUGGAGUCGAACGGACAGAUCACAACUUGUACUUACAUCGAGUCUCUCAGUGAUGUCCUAAUAAAAAACAAAAAUGUUCAAAUACGAUAGUCCUUUCUAGAAUGGCGCAAAGUGGAUUUAAGGAAGGGAUAUUCUAAUAUUCCUAUGCUGCUAGGUCAUCAUACGUGUCUCUAGUUAUUAGUUUAAUACCCCGAUUAGUUAGUACUAAUAGUGUUGGUUAGGCUGCCUUUACAUGCCAGAGCUCACACAUUACUAUAGCGACACCGCACGUGAUAUGCCCAAUGGAUCUUGUAUGACACAUCAUGUUUGGAAUGGAAUUGCAAUAUUUGAGAUCCAGAAACUUCACAUGGAUUUUCAAUAUUUUAUUUUUCUGAACAGUUGUGGACUUGUGGUAUCAUAACAAUUAACAAUAAGGAAUUUGAAAUUUUUUCUUGUGUUUAUACUGAGCCUGUUUUGUCCCUCUCGAAGUGAUACGUAUAAAUGAUAUAAAAUGAGGAACGCAUGUGGUGCCAUUGUCAUCCAAUUUGCUGAUUUAAGCACCAAAUAAAUGAGGAAUAGCACUGCGACGUUUCUUGUGUUAAGUUUAUCUCCAAUUUGCUUCUUUUUGUUUACACCAUAAGCAACUGGUGGAUAGCUAGGCAUCAGCUUUGGUACCAAUUGGCUGAGUAAAAUGCACUAGGGUGGAGUUCGAUAGGCCAACACCUUGACAAGUUCAAGCAAUUGAAUAAGAUAAACAACUGAAGGUUCCGGAAGAUCGAAGUUCUUGAAAUGCUAAAAUAUAAACCUAUGAUGGGUACGUAACACUGUAUUAUUUGUUAAUGUGGCAUCAUCAUACAAAGAAGUGGUAAUUGCACCAUGGAUUGCACUCGACAAGGACAGCUCGAUGUCAGCCAUCGAUUACUACAUACCUAAAAAAACUGGCUUUAAGUAACAGGUGUCGAAUCAGAACUUGUCUCAAAGAUGCUCAAAUCUUUUGCAUAUUCAUAGCACUUGCCUCAAACUCUAGUAUCUAGUGUUUCAGAUUGUAGGAUAUGACCAUAGGAAGCUGGUGGCUUGCUUGAGGUAUUUCAUUUACACACGGCAAUAUAAAUGACACGCUUCCAUUCCUAGUGUUUGCUCUUUGGUAAGCUUGUUACUAUCACUAUCUUCUCACUACAAGUCUGAAUAAACUGUGAAACUGUGCAAGAAAGCAACUUUUGUCUUGCCGUUGUAACUUGGCUGCCUACAAUCAUUAAAUCCCAAACAACUAUGACUAAGACUAUGAGUUUCUGGAUUUUUUAUAGGACUAGUUGAUCUUAUGAUCCUUUCCUUGAUGGGGAAUAAUUCCUUUUUGUAAAACUGCAAACUUUUGUUUGCUACUGAUCAAGGCUCAAACUGCAUUAUUCCCUUGAUGUGCACGCCUUUGGUUGUAUUAUUUGUACACUACAUGAAUACGUACAAAGGAUGAUCAACUAAAGUAUGUAAAAUAAUUUUCCAGACCUGAGCAAUUGUCGAGUCCUUAUAGGCUGGAUUGGAUAUUUUAGUUUCAUUCCAAAGAAAAAAAAAAGAUAGAUCCAGAUUUUAGCCCAAGCUAUCUGCCUUUAAGAAACUUUGGAAAAAAAUGCUGCUUGCUGAAGACAGCAAUGCCACUAUGUGAGAUUAGUGUCCCACAACGCCUGCAUCAUGGACCACGCGAAUUUUUCAUUAGGCAGCAGUCAUCUAAUCAUGUGAGAAUUCCUAGUAGGGUGGCUCCAGGAACUGGUGAGAUGGACAUAUAACUAGAAGCAUUCCCUGUCAAGGUGUCACUCUCACUCUGCUAUCAUCAGAAUAAGAGGUCGUAGUAGUAUAAAAAUGCAGGGAACGCCGCACUUCUACACUACACUGAUAGGAAGUAUAUACUUCGUGUUAGCCCUUCAGAGUUUCAGUACAGAGAUGCCAACAUCACCAAUCCCUUGCAUGACCCAGAACCACAGAUAAGCUUGAGAGCUCAGGGAUAAUCGCCAUGAACAAUGAGAGAGAAGAACAAGAACCGGCAGCCGCCACGACCUCGGAUUGGCUCGAUGAGUCCAUCGCCUUCCUAGCUGCCAACCUCGACCUCGGCUUUAACGACUAUGGCUUGCUGUCGACAGCAUCGGAAGCACAGGAGCAGCACGACGUCGGCGGCAUGAUCGUGGAGACGCUACCACCUACUGCUACAACCCUGCACCAGCCAAGCCUGAACCUUGAUACUAGCGUUGCGUCGUCGUCACCGAUGACCUCGCAGCAGGAGCUUGGGCAGCCCAAGAAACGCAAGUCUCCUGGACACAGCAGCAGCCAACGACCCCAUGCCGGCGGCGGCGGGAGAGGCGGCGGUCAGCAAGAAAUGGGGGAAGCGAGCUGCGUCAGGUCGAAGCCGAGCAAGAAGGUGAAUGGCAAGGGAACCGCAGCAAAUUCGGACAGGGAGGCGAGGUGGGCGGAGCAGCUGUUGAACCCGUGCGCGGCCGCCAUCGAAGCGGGCAACCUGCCGCGCACGCAGCACCUGCUGUACGUGCUCGGCGAGCUGGCCUCCUUCUCCGGCGAACCGAACCACCGCCUGGCCGCGCACGGGCUGCGCGCCCUCACGCGACGCCUCCCGCACGCCGUGGGCGAAGCGGCUGCGGCGACCGUGAAGAUGCCAUCUUGCGAGUGCCCGACGCCGUUGUUCUCCGGCGUCGACCUGCGCCUGUUCUGCGCGUCGCUCAUCAGGUUCAACGAGGUCAGCCCAUGGUUCGCCGUUCCGAACGCGCUCGCCAACUCCGCGAUUGCGCACGCCGCGUCGACGAAGGGCGCGGUGACCGGGCCCCGUCAGGUUCACGUCGUGGACAUGGGCGUCUCGCACGGAGUCCAGUGGCCGACGCUGCUCGAGGCGCUCACCCGCGUGCCGCGGGGCUCCACGCCGCCCUCCGUCCGCCUCACGGUCGCCGGUCCCACGGCCACACCACCCGUGCCCUUCUCCGCAUCGCCUCCAGGCUACGACUGCUCACCGCAGCUGCUCCGGUACGCCAAGUCCAUCGACCUUGACCUCAGCAUCGUCCAAGCGCCAUUUUUGGACACCUUGCACGGCACUCUCACCCCCGGCGAGACCCUCAUCGUCUGCCUGCAGUUCCGGCUCGGCCAUGCCACCGCCGACGAGCAAGCAGUUAUACUCCGAACGGUCAGGGACCUCAACCCGGAGCUAAUGGUCCUCACUGAGCUGGACGUCGGCGGCGGCCGCAACGUUGACAGCGCAGCCAGCGAGUUCGCGGCGAGGCUGGAGCUGCUUUGGAGAUUCCUUGACUCGACGGCGGCGGCGUUCAAGGGGAUGGAUGCGGAUGAGAGGCGGGUGAUGGAAGUGGAGGCCGGGACAGCAUUGGCGCCCACGGCGCGGCGGGGAGCGACGGUGGGCGGGGGGAGGGAGUCGUGGCGGGCGCGUUUGGCCGCGGCGGGGUUCGAGGAAGCGGCGUUCGCGGGCGAGGCGGUGGAGACGGCGAAGGCGCUGCUGAGGAAGUACGAUAGCAGGUGGGAGCUGGUGCCGCCGUCUCCGCCCGCGGCGGCCGCGGUGGGGCUCCGGUGGAAGGGUCAGCCCGUGUCGUUCUGCUCCCUGUGGCGACCGGCGCAGGCCAGCCCAGAGCUCAUGGUCAUGGGGCGUGGCGCAUAAGCGACAAGGGAUGAAGAGAUGCAGGCGGACUAUGGUUGCGCAAGCGAUCCAUCGUGCAGGUGCUGACUGCUGAUGCGCAAGCGGAGCUUUUUCCAUGGUCUGCACUGGACUGAGCGCGCGCAUGGGAUGCGUUGCCGUGUGUGGCAGUGUGGGACGAGGACGACCCGCGCGCGCCGAGAGCGUGAGACCAACACGCGCGCGCCGGCGUAAUGCAUGAUUACACGGUGGUUGGUACUGAAAGUCUGAGACGAAUAGGUGGUUUGUAUCAUUGUAUGGGCGAGUGAUAGGCUCGAAGACUUUUGCUGACUUCACUCUGCUUAUAACAGAUGCAUGUACAAAAGUCGGGCCUCUUUGGAAUGACGAAUUUUUCUGGCUAAUCCUGGCAAUUGAACUAUUUUUAUGAACGAUUUGAGCAUUGAACUUACUCAUAUGAAAUUCAAGUAGGGUUGGUCACUCUCGCAGUCUCGCCACGUCAGAGGGUGAUGGCCGCCCCUUGUCAGUUGUCACCCUAGCGACACCGACGGGCUGCCCAUAACCCUACCCUCGACCAUCGUCACCACUAUAUUUGUCAUCACUCGUCCUGCACCGUGCUACCACCCAAUCCAUGAUCGACCUCUGUUACAGGCACAAUUUUAUUCUAGGCACCUAAGUGUCAUGUUCGAAGAUGUCCUACUCCACGACUUAUUCACGAUCACCCCCUUCUCUCCACCCCAUUUCCUCCCCCACUCUAGUCAUCGACAUGUCUCCCCUGUUGUUCCAAUACACGAUAGACAUGCCCCAAUGCCAUGGACGCAACUGCUCUUGAGACUCACCUCAACUCUAACAACCCUUUGCUCCUUGGCAGCCGCGACGAUGCUAAAAGCCCGCACCCUUCACCCACACAUCCAAUGCCUAUGUCUACGUCCAACAUGAUUUUGAGUACCUCAACCUCAUCAAGUGUACACUUUGUGCGACCUCGGACACAUGGAGCGCCGCCUCAAGUCACCCACCUGUCCCUCACACCACACGACUCCAUGCCUUGCCACUUGACCGUCCUAGUUCUGCUUCUGGUGUCCAUGUCCACCCAGUCCCCUUCACCACCAGAGAUUUGAGCACCCCCCACCCACGCACACAAAGAGCUUUUGACAAGCCCCUCAACCACAUCACCUUCUCGUACUCCACGAGCCUUGAAUUUUAUCUCACAGUCCGCAGUAUGGCCAAUGCCAACCAUCGGUCGUUCCGCCUCCCACAACCAUCCCUUUUUUUUCUUGAUCUCCACUCCACUACCUCCCUGAACAAUGGAUGGUCUAUGGUCCUAGUCAUCUCGUCCCCUUGGAGAUGCUCACCCCCUCUAGUAGCAUCCUCAGACCCUAGUGCUUUCUAUGAUUGCGCCCCGUUCACUUCCCUAGCAUCAGCUGUAUAGAUGAUGUUGAUCAGAUCCCUAAUUCCAUACAUUAAAUACAAGUCGCACUAGUCCUCCCAUGGCAGGAGCAACAGUGGUAGGAGAAAGAAGAGGAUGGGUGCGGGGUUUCAUGGAUAGGAAUGACUUCUUCAUAGAUUUGGGUGCCUUGUUUAGUUGGCAAAAUUUUGGCUUUUGGGCUACUGUAGCACUUUCGUUUUUAUUUGACAAAUAUUGUCGAAUCACGGAGUAACUAGGCUCAAAAGAUUCAUCUCACAAAUUUCAGGUAAACUGCGUAAUUAGUUUUUAUUUUUAUCUUUAUUUAAUGCUCCAUGCAUGUGACCAAAGAUUCGAUGUGACGGGAAAUCUUGAAAAUUUUUGCGAACUAAACAAGGCCGUAUGAAACGGUCCUAUACUUGUAUUUAAUGUAUGGAACCUGGAUAGAAAUGUCUAUUGUGGUUGCUCCAAUCUUUAUCUUUUUUCACUUAUUUUUCUCUUUUUUUUUCAUUCUCUCUUUAUAUCUACAUUCCUUCCGUUAUCUCCUCACUUGGCCAUGCAAUCCACGUCGACAGCUCUCUCCACCCCGUCCUGUGCUCUGGCCACCUUGGCCUGGGUGACCCACCUUGGCUCUAGCCCAGGCAACCCCAUCUCUAGUAACCUGCCCCUAGCUCCAAAAAUUCCUUCUUACCCCGCACCUCGGCCACUCCACCCCCUCCCCGUCUUCGGCAUCGUCCUAGGGAGCAAAUCCACCCAUGGCCACGCUAGAGCCCACCUGAGCCAGAGAAAGCUAGAUAAAAUUAUAUUUUUAGCUUCUUCUCUCUCCCCUCUCCUCUCCGUGGGAAAUCCAUGGCUUCACCGAUGAAGUGGAGCUUCUUUUGUCUCUUCUCUCAGGAAUCCGUGGUUUCACCGAUGAAGCAGACGCACGGAGAGACGUUUGUUGGAGAGGCUAAAAACAGAAUUUUGAAACUAGCAAGAAUACCUAUGAAACAUGCCCUUUUUCUUCUAUAUAGACAACGCAGGCAGAAGCAGGCGCUUGGUACAGCAGCUCUGUGCAGACGAAGAUUAAACUCUUUUUUGGGAAGGCGGGGGGCGAGAGAAACAGGUAGAAGCUUAAAAACUUUUUUGAGGAGCAGAAAGUGAGAUAGCAGAUGAGCGGACAAGAAGCUUAAACUUUUGUUUAGCAGAUAAAUAGUUUUUGGCUCUCAUUUUCCCUGGUAGCCAUUUCAGUCCUUUACUAUAUAACUUGUAACUUAGCUAAAUAGUGGAAUUUUAGCAGGCAUGCAUAUGCCUUCACCUAGUUGUGUACUACUUGUGUAGCAUAGCAUCUUCACAAUUACAGAGCUUUGGCAACACUCAUACUCAUGUUUCAUUGCUAGAAAAGUCUAAAAGUAUUGACGGGACAAUCUCGGAUAGAAUGAGAUAAAGUUGCAAAGGAAAAACUUCUAGCCGGACUGAAUUAAGAUUCAUGCUCUUCUUUGAAGAAGCAAAUACAGGGAACAUGAUAGAUUAUCAACCAGUAGGCGUGAAGCCCCACAUGUUACCUAAAAAAGUGUACCUAGAAAAGAUCACAACAUGAACGGGCUAGAUAGCAUAAGAAAUGACGCACAAUAUACAUUGAUUUGAUCCCACGAAUCAUUUACCCUCCAGAUAUCACAACACAAACAGGAACAUGCUGAAUAGCAUAAGAAAUGACACAUGCAAGCAUUCAGUGGGGAAGAAAACUGUUGACGGAUAAAUAGCAAUCACCAUAGCAUAUUUAAUUUCCGAUUUCAUCAACCUUGGAAGUCUCAAACCAACAAAUAAUUGCAUUAAUCAGGCAGAAUGCAUCUUAUCUUAAAUUAUGAACUGUCCCAGUGAUCCUUGGGCCUGAAUAACUAUUCACAUCGCGUUACGAUUGCAAAGAGGACUUUGGAGCUGGAAGCAAGAAGUUCAGGAUUGCCUCAUUGAACCGCUUUGGAUCCUCUUCCUGAGGCAUGUGGCCGGUGUCCUUGAGGACCUCCAACCUAGCAUUUGCUCCAAGUUUCCUGCAUUUGCACAUUUAUCCUUCCGUAAGUUUUGAAUGCCACACGUGAAAUCAAAAUGUACAGGUGAGAUCAGCAUGUACUGACCUUGCGACUUCAAAUGCCUUCUCGACAGGGAAUAUUUGAUCAUGCUCUCCCCAUAACACAAGAACUUCGUCCUGAAAGAUGGGACAGAUGUGUUGGGUAAGGAUAUCAGAUAUGGCAUGGCAAUGCGUUGCUGUAGCUACGUGUGUAGGAAGUACCUGGGGGAGAGGUGUAAGCUGGAAUUUGUCUUUGUUACCCAGUGUUAUCCCCUUGAUUAGCUCCUUCUUCUCUUCAACUUUGUCGCUGUACAGAUACUGCAGCAGAGUCUUACUGUUACUCAAAUCUAGAGGUCAUAUUCAUGCAAUCAAGCUGAGAUCGUCACAGAGGUAAUUGCUAUCAAGUAACGGAUACUGUGGUGUAUUUCAGUCUCCAGAACCAGGCAAUUUUUAUGUAAUUCUUCACAGAUAUAUGAGUAUAUUGACAUUAUAAUAGGAAAUCCAACUUCGUCCACGGCCUGGAUUUAGUAGGCUGUAGGCCUUCCAUUGUUGACGUUGACUACUCUCAGGUCCAAUUUCCCUGCUGAAUCCAGAACCCGCUGUUGUACAAUGCCAGCCAGCACCGUGGUCCUAAUUUGCCAGACAAUACUGUACUGAACAUGUGCAGUGGCUGUUCUUGCAAAGAAAUUACGAUGGGGUAGCAUAUAGAGUAUGGCAGCCGAGCCAAUACAAUGGUUGUGACUUGUGAGUGUCUGACCACUUGCCCAGCACUAGCUAGCCGUCAACGUCAACAAAGGAAGGCCUACUGAACGGACGUCUAGACGCUCUGAUCCCGGGACAAAGAUGGCCGCGAUGCCUGUUGUCGUUUGUUGGAAUGCAGGUAGGCAGGCAUGCGAUGCGACGACGCGCUUGUACUGGUCACUGACCUGUACUGUGUAGUACUGCUACUCGGCUAGUAGUUCUAGAAGGAUCUGGAUGGCUAGACCGCUGGAGCGGGCAUUCAGGAUGUAUUGAUUGGAAGAGCGGCACGACCGGAGGAACGGUUGGGAAACGAAUGCAAGCUAAAGGCCGCGGCCGCUGGGAGUUGAUGGCGAUUCAGCGCGGCAGUUGGGAAACCCGGGAAUCCGAAGACGAGGAAACCUGGCGUCAGAAAUAAGCUAGGAUUCCGAUCCACGGCCACGUCAUCGCCAGGCGACGUGGCGUACUGACGUGGAGGCCAGGCCAUCUGGCCAUGCAUGAAUGCGACACUCCGAUGCAACCGAGCGGCAAGCCAGAUGGCCCAAGGAAGAAGGACUCGAUCCCAACGCGACACGACGAGCAAGCUAAUGAUCGACACUGUUCAUUGUUGCUUGAUCGGAAGCACGAUGCAUCUCUUCUAUCUAGUGCAUGGAUCGUGGAGUUUGCUGUUUACCUGGACGAAGUCGCGGAGGACGAAGCCCGGCGUGAAGCGACGCGGGCGGUGAUAGGCGAGCUGCAGCAGUCGCCGCAUCUGCUCCGGGGAGCGCGGCAGCAUGACGUCCUCGACGCGCUCGGCGCCGCCGCGGCGGAGGAGGGCGCGGUCGUCGUCGGCGGCCUUGAGCAGGUCGGAGCUGGCGAUCACCACGCGCUCCACCACGGCGGGGCCCAGCAGCCGCGCCACGUGGUACGCCACGAACCCGCCGUAGCUGGUGCCGGCCACCGACACGCGCGCCGGCGCCCCCGCCACUACGGCCGCCACGAGCUUCGCCACCGCCUCCGCCUGCUGCGCCUCGGAGACCCGCCCGGCGCCGGGCGCGGCCGACGACGUGGUGGACGAGCCGCCGAAGAAGAGGAGGUCUGGCACGAUGAGUCGGAACCGGCGCGAGAGCGGGCCCACCUGGCGCCGCCACUGCCACGUCGCCGGGGGGCCGAAGCCGUGCAGGAGCACCAGGACGGGGCGCGCGUCGCCCUCGCCGUCGGCGGCGGCGCCCGGCCCCGGCGGGAAGCGCCAGCAGUGGACCGUGGUGGCGCCGCCGUCCAGCGGGACGGUGGCCUCGACGAGCCCCGCCGCGGCGAAGCGGCGCCGGAAGUAGGCGUCCAGCAGCGGCGCGAUGCCCAGCGUCGGCAUGGCGUGGCGUGGCGUGGGUGCAGGGAGGGCGGCGGGUAGCGGCGUCCCUGGACCUGGAUCGAGAGGUGGGUUGGUGUCUUUACGGGCGGGAGUCCGGAUGGAUGAGACAGAUUAUAAAUGGAGACCGUCCGUGCACUUUAUUACAAUUAAAAUUAAUGGCACAUGUUCUUUUGGUUUCUGGUCUUCUGGAGAUGUACUACUCGUAUAUAAAUUUCGCUGAUGCAUUAGACAAAGCUUGGACGAUGAGUACACACAUAUAGACUUUGUUUAGUUCUAAAAAAUUAAAAAAAAAUUAGAUUCUCCAUCACAUCGAAUUUUACAGCAUAUGCAUGGAGCAUUAAAUAUAAAUAAAAGAAAUAACUAAUUACAUAAUUUAACUACAAUUUGUGAUAUAAAUUUUUUAAACUUAAUUAGUCUAUAAAUAAUAUUUGCAAAUACAAACGAAAGUGCUAUAAUUUAUUUUACCAAUUUUUUUAACUAAACAAGACCAUAGACGUAGCAAAAGAGUUUGCAAAUGUCACGAUUUUUCUCGAAUACGCAAAAGGUUUGCGCAUCUUUGUAUUAAGUAGAAGUAGUUUUUUUACAAAAGCGCCGAGGCGCUGGCGGCGGAGGUUUUACAGGUGGUACAAGAACAUUACCCUCCCCGCAACACGACAUGCUAACUACUCCCGAACUAGACAACCUAAGUUCCGAGCCCCGGCUUGUAUCCAGAGAUCUCCAGAGAUUCUUAUGGUGGACAGAAGCUGACCAACUGUGUGGCCGGGGAGCCCCUGAAGCAACGCGCAUUGCGUUCUUUCCAAAUCUCCCAAGCAACCAAGGCGAAUAAAGUGUCCGCUCCUUUACAUUUAUCACCGUGCCAUCUGAGCCUCCAGUUCUCCCACCAAGUUAGCCAGUUAUCAGCCCCGAUCUGCGACGCGUCGGAACCCAGAGUGGCCAAGACGGUCCACCAAAUUUGCCUCGAGAACGAACAGGUGGCGAUGAUGUGGUCGAUCGUCUCAGGCUCCUGGUCACAAAGGUAGCACCGGUCAGCUGCCUCCAGCCCGUGUCGGCGUCUUCUGUCGGCUGUCCAGUGGCGUCUUCUGAUGGCGAGCCAUAGGAAGAUUUUGACGCGUAGAGGUGCCCAAGUUUUUCAGAUCAGAGGGCAGCCGUAGACCGGGCUAGAAGCCGCGAGUAGAGCACGAUAUGCUGAUUUGGAGGAAUAGAUCCCAUCUGCUGUCCAGCGCCAAAUGAGCUUGUCUUCACCUGUGCCUAAGGUUAUUGUGGUUAGAAGAUCCCACAGCCUUAGGUACUCGACAACGGCUGGAACGGUGAUUCCCCCCGUGAUUUGCCGCACCCAUGAUCGGUUUUCCAGCCCCGCGGCGACGGUUGUUUCGACAAUGUCUCUCCGGCUGACGAACUCCAGCAGGGUCGGUGCGAUAUCCUUGACAGCCUUGCCCUGGAUCCAACGUGCGGUCCAAAAAGCUGUGGACUGUCCAUUGCCGAUCAAGGUGAACGUGGAGGCGUCGAAGAAGGCGGCCACCUCCCUGGACGCCUUGAUUGGCAGCUGUGCCCAGGCUCUGGUGGCGUCGGUGUGCUUGAGCCACAGCCAGCGGGCCUGCAGUGCGAUGGAAGCGAGGCGAAGAUCCGGGAUGCCCAGGCCGCCAAGAUCGGUUGGCCGGCAGAUUGCUGUCCAAGCGACCGCGCAUUUUCCCCUGAUUGACCCCUCCUUCCCUGUCCAGAGGAAUCUACGGCAGAUGUUGUCUAUCUCCUGUAUCGCCCACGGCGGCAGCCCGUCCGCGAUGAUGGUGUAGAUGGGGAUCGCGGAGAGGACGGAUUUGAUCCAAACUAGCCGGCCGCUCUUGGCCAUAAGAGGGCCGUGGCAGCUAGGUAGCCUCCUGCUGAUCGCGUCGACGGUCGCCUGUAUCUGUGCUCUAGGAAUCUUCUUAGUGCUUAACGGCAAGCCAAGGUAUGUGAUGGGAAAUUGUGUUGCUUGGCACCCCAGGAUUUCUUGCAACUGAGGCAUACUGUCGUCUGGAACGUGGAUUGGCGUGAUGGAGCAUUUGGCGAGGUUGGUCCUCAGGCCGGAGGCUUCGCCAAAGAUGCGCAGGAUCUCCUUGAUCGCUCUGGCAUCGUCAACGUGUGGGUGCAGGAAGAUGAUGACGUUGUCCGCAUAUAUACUGCAGUGAUGCUUGAUAGCAAGCGACUGCUGUGGCCUAAGCAGUCUGUCAUCCACCGCCGUCUUGAGCAGCCUCGCGAACACCUCCAUUGCGAUGAUGAACAGCAUCGGUGAGAGCGAGUCGCCCUGUCGUACCCCGCGCAAGUGUCGUAUGGGCCUGCCUGGUCUUCCGUUAAGCAGUAUGCGGGAGGACGCCGAGGAUAGCAGAGCGGCUACCCAUCUGCGCCAGUGCUCCCCAAAGCCGAAGGCCCUCAGGGUGUCAAGCAAGAAUGGCCAAGCGACCGUGUCGAACGCCUUUGAGAUGUCAAGCUUGAGCAGCGCCGUAGGUGUCUUGUUCUUUUUGAGAUAGACCGCUGCUCGCUGAACAAAUUUGAAGUUGUCGUGGAUUGUUCUUCCUUGGAUGAAGGCGUUCUGGUUGGGCGAUAUGAUUUCCUUGAGCCGCGGCGCUAACCUCGACGCUAGGAGUUUGGAGACAAGCUUGCCGAAGCUGUGGAUCAUCGAGAUGGGUCGGUAGUCGCUCGGAGACGAGGCUCCCUGUCUCUUAGGCAACAGCACGAUGAAGGCAUUAUUUACCCUGUAGAAGGCUGCGUUUAAGGCCGCCACCACGUCCUCCUUAAUCUGUGGCCAUGCAGCUUUGUAGAAGGCUCCGGUGAAUCCAUCCGGCCCCGGUGCCCUGUCCGCGGGCAUUUCCCGCACGACCCGCUCCACCUCCUCCUCAGAGAAGGGCAGGUCGAGUGCAGAAAAAUCCUAGGGGAAGAUCCCAAUCGCGUGGUAGUCAAUCGUGUGGCCUCCAGACCCCGGCUGUCCGAACACCCCCUUGAAGUGGUCGCGAACUGCCGUCUCCAUCUCAUCGUGAUCAGCACAGAUGACCCCGCUGUCGUUUCUGAGUCGGUAGAUGGCGUUUUUGCGCUUCCGGCCUCGGGCAGCAGGUGGAAGUAUUUUGUGUUGGCAUCCCCUUCGGCCAGAUACCUGACACGAGCCCUUUGACGCGCCAUUGUGCGUUCCAAGGACGCGAGACCCAGGGUCUUGAGCUUAAGCUCCCUGCGCAGGUGGAACUCGCUCUCAGAGAGGUCCCUAAGCUCCGCAGCCUGGUCUAGUCGAAGAAUGAUGGCUCGCGCCAUGAGGAGUUGCUCUCUGAUAUUGCCUAUCGCGGUGGCCGCCCAGCUCUGUAGCUUGCGCUUUAGGCUCCUGAACAGCUCAUCAAGGCGGCGCAAGGGGUCGGAGGUGUCGGACGUGCAGACCCAGCCCGCGACCACGGCUUCGUGGAAGCCUGGCGUUUUAGGCCAGAAGGACUCAAAGUGGAAUCUCCUGGCGUGGUGGAUGGACAGGUGCGUUUGCAACGGUAGCGGGCUGUGGUCGGAGACGUGUGUGGUCUAUACAGUUUACCUGAAGAUCGAAGUUUGUCUUUUGGGUAGGAAAGAGCAUUGAAGAGAUUAUUGUCUUGACAAGCGGUCGGACGGAAAAGAUCAAAAGAACAUGAGUUCGUGAUCAAGCAUACGGACUGGGAGCUGAGACAGCACUCAAAAGAUUUAUCGCCAAACUGCAGGUCGUUUAUAUAUUAUUAUCUUAGAAAAUCACGUGCCGCUUCAAAUAUUACUAGUACUCAGGAAUGCAUGGUUUCAGCAUGUUCACAGAUGCGCGCAGGCGUUUAACAUGGUGACAAACAUUGGUAUUUUAAAUCGGCAAGUUCCAGUUAUCAUGAUCAUGAUUCUGGAGUCUGAAUAGGGAUUGAGAGUUUCAGAUAUUUACUACAAGUGCAUAUUAACAUAUUCCAUUCCCCUGAACAGGUGCACCCUUAAGUUUGUAAAUAAACUCGUAUUAUGGAACAACAUAUGCUGAAUAAACCAGGUAUUAUACUCGAGCAUACAUACAACUAACACAACACAAGCCAAUGAGCCCAUGACCAACAGUUGAUUUUCGGCUUUCAUCUUCCGCUGUCUGACAGCUGCAGCAGCCAUGGCAUUGAGCCCGGACGAGACCCUCUGAGAAGGCUGCCACCGGGAUCACGAUGAAAACCAUUACCGUCAACCUCUGUUUCCACAGCCUGAUCAGACGCCGGCAUAACAGGACGAACAAGUAGUAGUAGUAGUAGUAGUAGGGGUCGCAUUCGAAUGGGUUUACGGCUCGUGUUUUAUUAAGACGAAAGCAAGUUUUUUUUUACAACCCGCUAUUAGGCUUGAUAUACAUCAACUCGUUUACGAGUACAUUAGCAAAACUAAUAACCAAUAACAAUUAGUCGUAAGAUACUAUACAGCGGUCGAUUGCACGACGUUGGCUUUAGCAAAAAAAAAAAAAACGCCCACACAGAAGUUAACGGGGUGAUCAAUCCAUUGACCCUCUUCUUCUAGAAUAUGCUUCGCGAUGGCCGCCGCCAAGGAGACCUGGUUCCUGAAGAUUCUCGCAUAGCGCUGCUUCCCAACCUUCCAAGAGACGAGCAAAAAACCAACGAGUCCAACCCCGUCGCUGCUCCUAAUCAAGCAGGACUCGCCGUUGCAGCCACCACUCCCGGAGGGCACCAUCACCAAGGUCUAUCGUUCCUGCAACGUGCCAGUUCAAAGUGGAAACAUUCGUCAGGUUACGACAAACCUACAAUCCACGAGCCAACUUUACCGCAAAGAUGGUUCUUUUACAAAAGAAAAAUAAAAGGUGAUCCGACAAAGGUUGUGGAAAGAUCAUUAGGUGAACAACCCAAUGCGGAAACUUUUCGGAAUUUCGUGGCCCUUCCUUCUAGAAACAGGGGAAGCGAUAACAAAUCUGCCAUGCUUCCAUGGUUGAGGUCCCUGGAAUUCAUCAGCAUGGAAGUGACAUCCCCUCCACUGGUAGCAAAAGUCGCGGAAAAGCUUGUACUGCAUGUCUGAAAUUCUGAAUAUCUGAUGUUCUUGCAAAUACCGACCAGGUGCACAAAGAUCAUCAACUGCAUACACGGAGGAAAAAUACUAAGGUCUUAUUUGGAUACGCAUAUAUUUAUCUCAAUCCACGUAUAUUGAAAUAGAUUGAAAUAGAAUUUUCUAAUCCAUUUCAAUACACGUGGAUUGAAGUGAGGCCUUAUUUAGUUUUUUUUUGUAAAAUGGAUACUGUAGCACUUUUAUUUAUAUUUAACAAAUAUUACCCAAUCAUAGACUAACUAGGCUUAAAAGAUUCGUCUCGCAAAUUAUAGUAAAUUGUGCAAUUAGUUAUUUUUUAUUUAUAUUUAAUUUAAUGCGCUAUGCAUAUGUCACAAGAUUCGAUAUGAUAGAAAAUCUGAAAAAAUAUAUAAAUUUUUUAAAAAACUAAAUAAGACCUGAAUAUACAUGCAUCUAAACAAAAUGAACCAUGGAUAAACACACCCCGCUCCACUCGGCCCACAUACAUCGACAGUUUGCCCGUCAAAAAGCACCCAACUUCGACGCGAUUCCGACGAUUCGUGAGAAAAGAUUCACAAAUGCGCAUGGAUUGGAAGUUUCAAACACCAAGAAACGUGUAGUGUAGGGCUGUAGUCAUGAUAAAGCAACCUAACAGUAUCUAAAAUUACACGCCGCUUGGCGGUCCGGGGUGGAGAACGCGGACUUGGCCUGGAUGGCGAGGCACACGUCGUCGGCCUCGAGCGAUAGCAUGACGGCGUGGUCGUCGUAGGCCCUGGCCUCGCUGAGCACAUCGUCGGCGAAGCCGUGGGCGAGCUCCUCGAAGGCUCGAACCGGGUACACCCCAGCGAGUCGGUACUAGUACUCCUUGAGACCACAGAGCCCACCAUUCUCCACACUGCGUGCAUACGGUGGCAUCCAUUAGGGCUGUGUUUAGUUUCUCAACGAAAAAAAUUCACGACACUAUAACACUUUCGUUUGUUUAUGGUAAUUAUUGUCCAACCAUGGACUAACUAGGCUCAAAAGAUUCGUCUCGUCAAUUCCGACCAAACUGUACAAUUAGUCUUUAUUUUUAUCUAUAUUUAAUACUCCAUGCAUAUAUCUAAAGAUUUAAUGUGGCAGAAAAUUUUGAAAAAUUUCGGAUUUUUUUUUUUGGAAGUAAACAAGGCGUAGGGCAGUGAGAGGGAAAAGGGGUGACAGUGACACACGUUUGAGUAUUCCGAUUACGUAGACUCGAUUCUAUAUUAGAUUUACCCACCACUAUCAACAACGACGCUUUGGCCGAGUGGUUAAGGCGUGUGCCUGCUAAGUACAUGGGGUUUCCCCGCGAGAGUUCGAAUCUCUCAGGCGUCGAAUACUUUUUGGAUUUUUUUUAUUUUUUGCAAAAUGUAAAUUUUUUUGGAUUUUUUUUCCCAUUUUUGCAAAAUAUAUUUCCCCCUUCUCUCUUGUCUCUUCGUUGACACUACAUGCUCCUUCACUUUUCAAAUUUUAUUACUGUGAGUAAAAAAACAUAUAUUGUGAUCCUUUGUCUUGCCCAUUAUUGCACGUGUGUCGCUCAGGACACAAGAGGCAUGAUAACUUGGCCUCAUCCUCUCCUUCCUCCAGCUUAACACCGAUGGCCUACUCAAGGUUCCAAACUUAUAGCAACUAAACACAAAGAGUUGCACUCGCUAUUGACUUAACCUAACAUCUUACGACCCGAGCUGGCGACAAUCAUGCACCACUUGUGUCCGGUUCCCGAGGGCAUCCCUCUCUUUCAAGAGGAUCCGCGUCAUGUCAAGUUCUGGUAAGGUUCUUCAUUUUGCAUCGAAUUAAAACCAUAUGCUCCACCAAUUAUGCGGGUUCUCGUCAAUUUCUUUGAGUUUCAUUCUUAUGAACGUAUUCCCCAGGCAGGAUACUUAACGCAUUAGUUACAACGUUGCAUGGGUCGAGUUGCACAACACCUAGUAUCCAUCGUUUACGGCUAGGACUACUAAGGUCUCUAAUCUCAUUUGCUCCCCUAGUUUUCGUCUCUCAGUGUGAGUGUCGGCUCAACAAAGUGCUUUUGUCGUUGAUGCUCUUUCCAAUAAUGUAUUUUCCCCUUCUCUCUCUGUCUCUCGUCUCUUCGUUGACACUACAUGUUCCUUCACUUUUCAAAUUUUAUAACUGAGUGAAAAACAUAUACAGUUUGGGCAAACCAAUUUUCACUGAUUUAUUUAUAGAGAGAAAAUUUUGCAUGCUGACCUCUGUCUCACUUUAUUAACGCUACAGGUUCCUUCACUUUCCAAAAUUUAUAGCAAAGUUACAAAAAAAUUCAUAUACGGUGUGGUACAAACAAGUUUCCCGGAAUUCUUUUGUACAGAGAGAAAAAAAAUUCUGAGCUUACAGUAUCCACAGCUCAUAAAGACUGGACCAAAAUACAGAAAAAAAAAGUGAAAUCAGGGGAAAUAGCAGUUAGCCAGUUAGGCACAGGUGCACAGCGGUCUUGCCGUGCUUCUUUCUGAAAUGAAUAGGCCAAAUUUCACCAUUGCCUGAGUUUUUUUUUUUCCUGAACCGAGAAGGAGCAGGAGUUCUUCUUUGCCUUAGAGGAAGGAGAAGAAAAAAAAAACAGUGCAAACAGAAAGUUUAGCACAAGACAACACCGUCGUUGGUCGAUAUAUUUGACAUUCCCUGAGCUAAAACUCUGUGUAUCAUGUAUUUACAUGCUAUCUUUGGCUUUAAUGAGUAGUAUACCAUAUGUGACACAUCGGUUACAGAACUUUGGUGCCUCUUUUUUUCAUUUAUAUUUUGUCGGCACAGGGGAAUCUAAACUUCAGAUGAUUUAUAUGGGUUCACGUCAUGUAUUUACAAGGUAUGGCGUUCUAAGGCUGUCAGGAUUGAGAAAUGGCGAGACGGUGAUCAAACUUUUGGUGGAGCUCCCUCGUGUAACCUCUGGAUUUGCAUGGGGUUGAAGGAAUGAGUUCAAGCACGUCGCCCAUUUUUAGUUCCUGGUUCCAGUUGUGGACGACAUGGCAGUUCAGCCUCAGCCUCAACGGCAUCCCAUAGUUAGAUCUGUUUAGUAGGUCCAGUAUUGUCCAAUCUUGGGGGAUUUCUUGUACUGACAUCUGUAAACACAUAAAAUUUACUUUUGUGGUUGAUCGGAAGAUACAGCAUCAAAAGAUAGGUGAUACCUUUUCAUUCUCCAGAAGUAUUACUAGUACUGGCCCUUUGUGAUCACAUUGUUUUGAGUAGGACAACAGACAGGCAUCAGAGUGAGAUGGAAUAGUGUGUGUUUCCUUUGAUGAAGCAUCACGUGCAAGUGAUGAAGGAUGGUCUGUGUUCAGAGUUUGACAGUGCCAUGUAAUAACCCAUCUAACCCACUCAACCAUUUCAGAAACAGAGGUGCAGCAACUCCGAGCAGCAACUUCCUUAUAUCUCCAAUGAGCAGCAAUUCCAAACUCUGCCUGCAAAUGCAUGUCCCUCGUACGGAUUUGGAUUUCAAGUGGUAGCGUUUCUUCAGUGAGAACAACCGUAUGCAGGGACUGAUACCUACAAGUUAGCAAACAUUCUUCAGUAAGCAUUGUGGCUUACAUUAUUGCAUAUUUCUCUUCGUUCCAAAUUAUAGUUCACUUUGAUUGUUUCAAAAAAAAAUCACUUUGGCUUUGUCCUAAGUGAAACUUGUCUAACUUUAACCAAAUAUUUGGAAGAAUAUAUUAAUAUCUACAAGCUCAAAUAAAUGCACCAUCAAACAUCAUAGAAAGUUUAAUUAAACAAAAUUUGAUGUUAUAAAUGUUGAUGCAUUUUUCUAUAAACUUGGUUGGAGUUAGAGAAGUUUGAAUUAGGAUAAGCCAAAGUGAACUAUAGUUUGGAAUGGGGGGAGUAAUAUCGUAUUAUGAAUGAGUAGCAUGAAUUUACAAGUAGUACCUGUUGGGUUUGGGGCUGUUGAUAUAAUCUUUGAACUUGCCAGGAAUUCUAGGCCAUAGGUGAUGGAUAAUCUCUAACGCAGCAAAACAAUCAGCCUUGUUCUCAAGAAUAACACGCACCCCAUGUAUAUCAUAAAUUUCAUCCAUGACCAGCUUCUUCCUAAAAUGAAGUAGAAUCACAUUAGCACAUUCAAUGAUAUAUUUCAGGCUCCCAUCUUCAUCAGAUUGUUCAGUAAAGCUUGUUCAGGACUCUGUUACAGGGGGAAUAAAUUGUAGGGCUAUAUAACAAUAGAAAUAAUUUUGUUUUGUUCAUUCUAGUGGUACCAAUGAAAAUAAAAGGGCACAGUACUCCCUAUUACCUUGCCAUCUUGCUGUAGAUGCUGUACAAGCUCUUGUGUCUCCCAUAUAUGGCAUAAUAGGAUAGUCCUCUCACCUGAAGGGCUUGUUCAAGUCGCCUUGUUGCAGCUGCAAUCAUAUCUCUGUUGUAGAACUCAGUAAGGCUUGUUGACAGUUCAUCAAAUUUAUCUGGGCAAAGGUACUUGAAGCACAGGUUUUCAAGCUGUUCCUUCCAAUUCAAUAUGCCCAACUGAUUCGCCAAGGGAGCAAAUAUCUCCAGUGUUUCCUUUGCAAAGCUCUGCUGUUUGUUCUUGGGCAAAGAAUCCAGAGUCCUCAUGUUGUGUAGCCUGUCAGCAAGUUUAAUGAGCACAGCUCUUGCAUCUUCCAUUGCAAGGAAGACUAUACGUAAUCUGUCAGCUUCAUCAAUUCUACUGGCUGUAUUGUUUCUACGAGCCAGUUUGCUCAGAUGACUAAGCUUUGAAACCUAAAAAAAGGGCAACAAUACUAUUGUUUAGUGAUUUAGUCAAAUGAGACAAUAUCCUCAUCGUCUCCAAAAGAAUAAACCAAGAUUUCAAAAGCAACUGAAGUUUCUUCAACAUAUAUUAAGGCACAAAUGUUGACUUUAGACAACCUACAUAUCGUUUGUUAGCAGAACAAACAACAGCAAAAAACUUCCAUAUCCCAAAUAAAUUGGUGUAAGACCAUAAUCCAAGGAUUCUGUCAACAAAGAAAACGAAAGGGAAAGAAUGGAAAACAAAUAAAACACCAUACAGCACGAUGCUGAUUGGAUCUGCUAACCCACCAGGGACUGAUGUUACAUUACUGAAAGAUAAGUCAUUCCUAGAUUAAGCAAGUCCUCACUAUAAUAAUAUAGAGGUGACCGUAACGUGAUACCUAACUCGGAUAGACACAACAAGAAUCCUUUCUAGAAGCUCCAUGAACAAAGUAACAAUCAAUAAGUUCUGUCAGUCACAGUCAGAGAUCUAGCAGCACGCAAUCCAUAAAAGCCAAUAAAUACCAGAAUAAAACUAGAGGGGUCCGUGAGAUGGCUUCUUUGUAGAACUGCAGUCUUUUGUGAUCUGAUCUGAUCUUGCACUCCUGCGCCGCUUAUGUUACUCUCAAGUGCAGGGCAUCGAUGACAUACUCUGGUAUUGUUAUGUUGUGGUCAAAAUGGAAUAGUAGUGCUACCUGCAAUAAGGGGGCCUUACCAGCAAUACUAAAUUCAACAAGGUUAUUGUAGAAUAUAGUUAAAUUACAUUAUCUGAAACCAAGGAAUCAUUAUCGCCUGUGCUCAGUCAAUUAUAUCGAAAGGGAUCAAAGUAAUUACCCCUUUGACAAGGUCCGCAACACCGGCACCGAAAUGCUCGGAGAUGAAACCGUAGCCCAGCCCCGCGUCAUCGACCGUGUCGUGCAGCAGGCCGGCAGCGACGACGGCAGGGCCGGCGCCAAUCUCCGCGAGCAGCGCCGCCGUCUCCACGCAGUGCUGUAGGUACGGGUCGCCGCUCGCGCGCACCUUACAUUAGACAACCAAUCGCGCAUUCAAGCAAACGCAGUUCCGUCACUUCAGCAGCUUGGAUUGCAGACCAUAGCCUAAAAAAAUGCAAAUGCGAGCAACCGGGACACGAUCGCGCACCUGGCCGCGGUGAGCCGCCUCGGCUGCGGCGAAGGCCCUCCGCACGAGCUCGUCGCGGAAGAUGGCGUGCCGCGACUGUGCGCCGGCUAUCAGCGCCGCGGACUGGCCGUCUCCGUCCAGCGCCACGGCAGCUCGGGCCCGCCUGGCAGACGCGGAGCCCCGGCACGGAGCCCGGGGUUCGAAGGAGUCGGCGGAGCGCGAGAGAGACAAGUACGGCGGACUCCGGCUCGCCCGCAGCUCGCCGGCGGUCGGGGCGCCGCGAGCGGCCAGAAGCUCCAGCGACGGCGCGGGUGGCUGCGGGGCAAGGCGGGGGUGGGGGCGGCACUUCACCGGGCUGGCGAUCGACGGUGUCAUGGCUCGCCGGCGGUUGGCGGCCACGAGAAUGGAGGCUGGCUGGUUUGCAGGCGAAGGAGAAGUGGAGAGGCGAUGGAAGAGGCGUCGUGGAAAAUGAUUUGGGGAGUUGGGCUUUCCUAGUUUCGCGCGUGGUUACUAUAGCCGGGGGAAGUUAUCGCUCAUUUGCUCUUUGGCCCUCGGGUUGUUAUCCGUAUUGCGCUCUACACCUUAGAAAUGCUAAUGCUAGUACUAAUUACUACCACGGUCACAAGUACUCCCUCCUUUCCAAUUUAUAUAAAUCAUUCCAAUAAUCUUGAGGAUCAACAAAAUCAUAGAAAAAAUUAUAAAAAUUUAUGAUUUCUAAUAUAUAUUAUAAAAAUAUAACUGAUGAAGAAUCUAAUACUAUUUAAUUCAUAUCAUAAAUAUGAUUAUCUUAUCAUAUAAAUUUGAUCAAAUUUAAAAUAUUUUAACUCUCUAAAAUUCUUAAAAUGCCUUAUAAUUUAGGAUGGACGAAGUAUGUUCUAAAAAACUUGAUUUUUAUAGCAGUUCAAGGGUGCCCUGUGCAAGAAUGCGAGAUGGUGUUGCGUGCAAAAUGCAACCGAGAAGAACAGCACGGGGAAAUCACUCGGAUUAGCAGAAACAGGAUAUAAAAGAACGACGGGUAGAAACUACGUCCCGGUUCGUCCACAAGCAGGACUGCAGGAAGCGCGUCCCAAAACGGCAAAACGUGCCUAUAUGUCCCUGGCACGUGGGCCUCGGCGUCCAAGUAUGAGUGUAUGACGCACCGCACGGCGGCCGUCUCGGCGGGAACCGGGAACGGACAAAAACGGAAGGGGACACACACGGGUUCGGUUCCUUGUGCGUGCGGACGAGGGUUUGCUUGCCGGCUCGGCAAGGCGGCAGAGACUGAUGUGAUGAGAGAGGGAGCGGGACUGCGGUGUGCCUGUGCCGGUGACCCGGUGUGCGCUUGUGCCGUUCAGCGUAACAGCCUUAGUUCCAAAAAAUUUUGGAAAAUCAACACUGUAGCAUUUUCGUUUGUAUUUGAUAAAUAUUGUCCAAUCAUAAACUAACCAGGCUCAAAAGAUUCGUCUCGUCAAUUCCAACAAAACUGUGCAAUUAGUUUUUAUUUUUGUCUAUAUUUAAUACUUCAUGCAUGUGUCUAAAGAUUCGAUGUGACGGAGAAUGUAAAAAAUUUUGCAAAAUUUUCUGGAAACUAAACAAGGCCUUACCGUGUCACUGUGUCAGUUCUUGGAGCCAUGUUUCUUUCAUGGCGUCAUCGUGCAUGAUUCAGGAGGAAACACCCAAAUGGAUCACUGAUUUUAAAGUUUUUUUUAUUUUCUAAGUGAAUAUAAUAAAACUACUUUAUUUUAUAAAUUUAUAGCUACUUUAUUUUAAAUAAACCCGAACCAAAGUAUUUCUAAAAUACAAUUUAUGCUUGGGUAGUCAUUUAGAGUUAUUGGUUUUCAUUAAUUUCCAUUACUGAUAUUUUAUUGCUCAUGAUUCAUUUAAAUUAUUAUUUUGCAUUAUAUUAUACCACUAGAGUGUAGAGGUAGAAAUUCUUUGUUUAGUUCACAAAAAUUUUCAAAAUUUCUCGUCACAUCAAAUCUUCGGUCGCAUGCAUAGAGCAUUAAACAUAGACGAAAAUAAAAACUAAUUGUACAGUUUACAUGUAAUUUGUGAGAUAAAUCUUUUAAGCCUAGUUACUCCGUGAUUGGACAAUGUUUGUCAAAUAAAAACGAAAGUGCUACAGUAGCUGAAACCAAAAUUUUUGGGAACUAAACAAGGCGUUAGUUCCACCCAAAAAUCAAAAACUUUUCAAGAUUCCCUGUCACAUCGAAUCUUACGGCACAUGCAUGGAACAUUAAAUAUAGAUAAAAACAAAAACUAAUUGCACCAUUUGUCUAUAAAUCACGAGACGAAUCUUUUAAGCCUAAUUACUUCACAAUGUUUAUCAAAUAAAAACAAAAGUGCUACAGUGCACCAAAAAUUUUUGUGAAGAAACUAAACAAGGCCCUUGUUUAGUUCGCGAAAAUUUUUGGCUUUAACUACCAUAGCACUUUCGUUUGAAUUUGACAAUUAUUGUCCAAUCACAGACUAGCUAGACUUAAAAGAUUCGUCUCGCAAAUUACAGGCAAACUGUACAGUUAGUUUUUAUUUUUAUCUAUAUGUAAUGCUUUAUGUAUAUGUUCAAAGAUUCGAUAUUACGAAGAAUCUUGAAAAUUUUUAAAAACUACACCAGGCCUAAACAUGGUCGAAGCUGCCGUUGGAACUAGAGUCGCAGUCGGACCAAACUGACCCUAAAUCUCAUAACAACAUAAUGAACAAUAACUAUUCUACACUCCAUGUUCAUAUUCUCUUAUGGGAAUAUAAGCACUAACCUGCACCAAUAGGUCGGGCAGAUAAAGUAAAAUUUACCCCUAAGGAUAUAUGUCCUCACAAUGUGAACCAUAGGAUUCGCUCUGAGAUUCGUGUUCAGCAGGAGAGAGAUAAUUUUCUAUUGUCUCUCCUACUAGGUACAAAUCUUAAUGUGAAUCAUGUGUUUACAUUGUGAAGGCAUGUACCUUUAUGGGCAAAGAAACUGCGUUUGGAACCGGCAUAGCACCACCUACCUCACACAGACGAGUAAUCUAAGGCUCAAAAAAUGAUGGUUGGGAUAUAUGAUCUUUGGGAGCUUCUAGAUCAAGAGGACGCCUUCAAAUGUCCAUCAAAAGCAUUUGCGUUUUCCAUGGGACUAUCAUUACAUUCACAACCGAGCGAUGAAAUCAUUAAGAAACGCGAUUGACCCAAACUUAGACAAACAUCAAACAACAUCUGAUCCUGGCUUCUAGCCAUUCAGCGGUGUUUUCUCUUACAAUAAAUCAGCCAAUAGUACUUUCUGUCACGGAUUAUCAGCCAAACGAACAAGGUGGGUAAGUCUCAACGGAGUUUCAUAGACAUUAAAUAUGCUGAUGUGGUACCAUAUCAAUGAAGAGAGAAAUGAUAAGAGUUUCACGGGAGUAGAGAGUUUUAUAGGGAUAAAACUCUUCUAUACUAUUUCCAAAAUAUAGAUGUGUUGAAAACUAAAUUAUUUUCAAAAUAUAGAUGUGUUGAAAACUAAAUUAUGAAACCUGCAAUGACGAUGGCCUAAGAUCUUUCAGGAAUGCAGAAACCAAGGGAUUUGAUUCACGCGUAUGAUGGACACAUCGGGUUGAGGGAGUUCGGCCACAUUCUGAAGCAACGUGACCCAUGUGAAGUAGGCCCAGUCAAGACUAGCCAAAGCUGCUAAGGCCGUGAUUAGUUUCGGAUGGAAAAUAUUUCGCUACACUGUAGCACUUUCAUUUAUUUGUGGUAAUUAUUGUUCAACUAUGGACUAACUAGGCUCAAAAAAUUCGUCUUGUCAAUUUUGACCAAACUGUAUAAUUAUUUUUUAUUUUCGUCUAUAUUUAAUACUCCAUGCAUACAUCUAAAGAUUCGAUGUGACGGGAAAUCUUGAAAAAAUUUUGGAUUUUUAGAUGAAAGUAAACAAGACCUAAGCAUCACUGACUUGCUUAACCACUCCUACAAUGCCGCCUACGCCUACGCCGUGGAUGGAGGUGAGCAUUAUGUACGAGUAACACGAGAAGAGCCAUUUGGAGAUAGAGGCACUCCUACAAUGCCGCCUACGCCUACGCCGUGGAUGGAGGUGAGCAUUAUGUACGAGUAACACGAGAAGAGCCAUUUGGAGAUAGAGGUGAGGCAUUAUGUACGAGAGUAACACAGGAUGGAGACAUUUGGAGAUGGAGAUGGGAACAGAGGGAUCACCGGAUCAUCAGGAUGAUAAACGAAGACCAUAUGCUCAGCAGUCGGCAAGGUGGUAGUCGACGGAAUACAGAUCACCGCUUCAUCAGCGGAGAACGUUAGUGAACCGAAAAAUUUGCAGAUUCCCAAAGAAAUAACUAAUUAUACAGUUUACUUACAAUUUGUAAGACGAAUCUUUUAUGCCUAAUUAGUCUAUGAUUGAACAAUAUUUGUUAAAUACAAACAAAAAUCCUAGCGUGCCUAUUUUGCAAAAAAUUUUGCAACUAAAGAAGGCCUGACGCCUGAGUGCCAUCCGCAAUAAAGAGGACCGCCACAAAUCAUAGUGCACCAAUCGCUUAUUGCCACUACAAAUCGAUCCACGGUAAUCCCUUGCAAGAAAGACGAGAUCACAGUUGGAUGCAGUGACCCAAACCCAUCCACAAGAUCACAACCAACAAAAAUAUCAACAAAACGCAUUUUUCAAUGUGAAAUUGAUAGGUUGGAAUGACACCAACAGAAUGUGAGCGAAGAGCAUUAUUCAUCAACAUAGAUUCAGGAAUGAAGGCUAUUGAAGAAGCACAAAUUCGGAGUAAGGCAAAUGUCAGCAACACAAAGGCCUUGUUUAGUUCCAAAAAAUUUUGCAAAAUCGACACUGUAGCACUGUCGUUUGUAUUUAACAAAAAAUAUCCAAUCAUAGACUAACUAAGCUCAAAAGAUUCGCCUCGUCAAUUUCGACCAAACUGUGCAAUUAGUUUUUAUUUUCAUCUAUAUUUAAUACUUCAUGCAUGCAUCUAAAGAUUCAAUGUGACGGGAAAUCUGAAAAAUUUUGCAAAAUUUUUUGGGAACUAAACAAGGCCAAAACAACCAACAAAAGAACUAUGCAGUAAGGCCUUGUUUACUUCCCAUAAAAAUUUGCAAAAUUUUUCACAUUCCCCGUCACAUCGAAUCUUUAGACGCAUGCAUGGAGUAUUAAAUAUAGACGAAAAUAAAAACUAAUUGCACAGUUUGGUCGAAAUUGACGAGACGAAUCUUUUGAGUCUAGUUAGUCCAUGAUUGGACAAUAUUUGUCAAAUACAAACGGAAGUGCUACAGUGUCCAUUUCCCAAAAUUUUUCGGAACUAAACAAGGCCUAAGACAAAUGAAACAAUCAUUAUGCAACAUGGAGAGUAACCUAUGGGAAAUGCAAUAUACAGACUCAGGACCUAAAGAAAUACACCUGAGGCUUACUUCGUUUGUCAUGCUGACUACAAAGCAUGGUCUAGCUUAAAAGAGCAUGUGACAGUACAAUGCAAACAAGUUUAUAACUUACUACUUCCAGAAAAAAAAGCCUACACAAAUCACAUCACGUGACAACAAUCAUAGCAUCAAUACGAUUUUUUGUAGAAGCCAUAUAUCUAAAACAUUUCAUAUGACCAUGUCUCGCCACAGAGCAGGGGCUUCAUCACUUACAAACGAGAGAAAAUCUCCAGCAUUACCAAAAUGCAACACAGUAAGGGUAAAAUGUGAUGUUGUACUUGCUACCAUACAUAUGGGCAUAAAAGUAUCUCAUGCAACAGUAUAUUACCUGUGAAAUUAAUCAAGGCACACUACAUUUACAAAGCCUAAGGCUACAAGCAUCACUAAAACUAAGACUUUGAAGCCAUGAAAAUAUAAGUAGCACGCGAAACACAGAUAAUUGCAUCGAGUUAAUAAGCCUACAAUGAACAGAGAACAAUCUAUGGCACAAGGUUCAACAACACAAAAUUUCACAUCAUUUCUAACAAUCUUGUGACGCAAACAGUUACGAAUUUCACAACACCGAAGAUUGCACAUGCAUCAUAAAUCAAUUGCACAGUUGAAAGUAGAACAAUUAGCACAGAUAGCUUUAAUAUAUCUGAAAUAUUUGAUAUGAACUGGCAUCAAAAUCCUCAUAAAGCACUGUCCCAACAGGCAGCAGCCACAGAUUUAAAAACUACAGGUCUUCUUAACACAAAUAGCUGAGACAGGAAAGCACUACUAGUUCAGAUAUAGAUCUCAAAACCAAGAGGCGAACAAGGACUGAAACCUAGGCGGUGAGCACGACGGCGCCGCCGGCGGCCUUGAUCUUCUUCUCGGCGACCUUGGAGAUGAGCUUGGCCUUGACCACGAUGGGCUU